This 858-nucleotide ribosomal RNA is filed under the name uncultured Gammaproteobacteria bacterium. RNAcentral's name for it is "bacterial SSU rRNA". It matches the Rfam family "Bacterial small subunit ribosomal RNA", at positions 35 to 890 of the family's 1533-position model. The record is from RNAcentral. Lineage: Bacteria; Pseudomonadati; Pseudomonadota; Gammaproteobacteria.
GCUGGCGGCAGCCCUUAUACAUGCAAGUCGAACGAGAAAGUUCCUUCGGGGGCGAGUAAAGUGGCGGACGGGUGAGUAACGCGUAGGAAUCUACCUUUCAGUGGGGGAUAGCUCGGGGAAACUCGAAUUAAUACCGCAUACACCCUUCGGGGGAAAGGGGGCCUCUCCUUGGAAGCUCUCGCUGUUAGAUGAGCCUGCGUGAGAUUAGCUUGUUGGUAAGGUAAUGGCUUACCAAGGCUACGAUCUCUAGCUGGUCUGAGAGGACGAUCAGCCACACUGGGACUGAGACACGGCCCAGACUCCUACGGGAGGCAGCAGUAGGGAAUAUUGGACAAUGGGGGCAACCCUGAUCCAGGCAUGCCGCGUGUGUGAAGAAGGCCUUAGGGUUGUAAAGCACUUUAAGUGAGGAAGAAAAGAUUUAAACUAAUACUUUAAGUCCCUGACAUUACUCACAGAAUAAGGACCGGCUAACUCCGUGCCAGCAGCCGCGGUAAUACGGAGGGUCCAAGCGUUAAUCGGAAUUACUGGGCGUAAAGCGCGCGUAGAUGGUUUAUUCAGUUGGGUGUGAAAUCCCUGGGCUCAACCUAGGAACUGCAUUCAAAACUUAUAAACUAGAGUACGAAAGAGGAGAGUAGAAUUCAUGGUGUAGCGGUGAAAUGCGUAGAGAUCAUGAGGAAUACCAGUGGCGAAGGCGACUCUCUGGUUCGAGACUGACAUUGAGGUGCGAAAGCGUGGGUAGCAAACAGGAUUAGAUACCCUGGUAGUCCACGCCGUAAACGAUGAGAACUAGCCGUUGGAUCUUUAGAUUCAGUGGCGCAGCUAACGCAUUAAGUUCUCCGCCUGGGGAGUACGGCCGCA